This 72-nucleotide transfer RNA is filed under the name Penaeus monodon (black tiger shrimp). RNAcentral's name for it is "tRNA-Pro". It matches the Rfam family "tRNA". From Rfam's summary of the family: Transfer RNA (tRNA) molecules are approximately 80 nucleotides in length. Their secondary structure includes four short double-helical elements and three loops (D, anti-codon, and T loops). Lineage: Eukaryota; Metazoa; Arthropoda; Malacostraca; Decapoda; Penaeidae. The record is from RNAcentral.
GGCCCGUUGGUCUAAGGGUAUGAUUCCUGCUUUGGGUGCGGGAGGUCCCGGGUUCAAAUCCCGGACGGGCCC